AUAAACAGGGCCAGGGUUGGCAGAAUGGUGCACGGAGUCGAGGGCUCUAACUUCUCCCCGUCCCACCUCCAAACAGGGCCUUUUUUCCUGGCAAGUUCAGGUCCUACAUGGUCAGAGCAGGUCCAGGUUCACAGCCAAUCCCUAUCUCCUUCCCUCUUAGGUAACAGAGAAGAGAGGCCCAGUCUAGCCUUGGGUCCAAUGAGAAUGAAACCUUGAAGUGGCUUAUUUGGACCAGAGACUGGAGCCAGUUUCUACCCUGCCAAGAGGCAGGGAAAGGUUCCUUCUCCAGAGCUUGGAGAUGCCAGCCUUGCAGAUUCCCAAAGGUCUGUGGCUCUGUGUCCAGCCUCCUGCUCCAGAGCCCCAGGCAGAGUCCUGGAGACUAGACACAACCAGCCAAAGGCUCUGGGAGACCACAGGGGCUGGGUACGAAGCUCCUGGCCCAGAAGCUGUGGCAGAGAGCUGUGUAUUAGCUGCAUGGCCUCUAAGUGGCAGGAGCGAGAGGCCAGGAAGGAAGGGGUGGUCCGGAGCAAGGACUGCUGGACCAGGCUUGUGGCAACCACUCUGCCAGGCUCUUCCCGGGCCGUGCAGCUUAACUCUCUUCACACUCAUGAGGCAGGACUAUGUCCAACUUAAUAGAUAAUAAAUCUGAGUCUCAGAGAGGUCACACAACUUUCCCCAAAACACACGAUCUACAGACUCCAGAGCCUGUUCAGACACCGAGGCUGCUGGGAAGAGGCCCCUGCAGCUUUGUCAAGGGCCCCAGCUACCUGUGUGGAGCCUGUGGUCAAGCUCACGGCUAACAUCCAAGUUGUGCCUAUCAUAAGGAGUUACUGGACAGUUGAAUGUCAAGUGACUUCACCCCUUACCCUCACUCCACCCCUGUCUCCUACAGGGACCCCCACCCUUCUGCCCUUCUCACCCUAAACUGGCCACAUCCCAAACCCAUCGGAUAAUGGGUUUUACUAGUACGAAUGCAUUCCAAAGGGAGGGGGGUCCAGCCCAGUCGUAGCUACCACAGCUGCUAGAGGUUUGUCCCAACCUUUAGUGCUUUGGGCUUCUUUGUCUGCCUCCCACCAACAUUCCCUCUCCUUUCUGCAGCAGAUUCCCACGCCAUUGGAGCCUAGCAUAAGGAACAGUCCCCAGCUCGUCACAGCUUUGCUGCGCCCCCACACCUCAUCUCCCCUCUCCCUGACUGCCUCCUCCUCACCAGCGUGGGGAUUUGGCUGGAGUAGCUGGAGCUUUGAAUUUUAGAACAAAUCCAGAGAACCCAGUAGCCCAGGGGGACCUGGGAAGGGGCUAACAACACCGGAGGUCAUGUGACUGCCUUUGGCUUCUUAUUGCUCCUCAGGCUUUGCUUAGCACUGAAUUGGGGCCCCUGCCCUCCAGAGCCAAGGGGUAGGGGGUGGAGGGCAGCACAAUCACAAAUAAUACCACAUAAGAAACUCUAGAGCUGACCUAGGCAUACAGCCCCAUGUUUUGCUUGGCGAGCGAUCCACACCACGGAACAGGGACAUGCUGGCUGCUUAGUCCGCACUGAAGGGUGAAAUCGCCUUCAACUUCUCCGUGCCUCACAUGAUGAUCAGCCUGCACCAUCUCAACCUAUUCCAGGGUGGUUGGAGGACUAUGAAUCAAACAACAGAUGGGACAGUGCAGGGGCACCUCCUGGUCUCUAUGGUUACCAAGAGCAGCCUUGCCAGGGAGAACCUGGAGUGUAAACAGCAGGAACCGGAUCUGCGGCUGCCAUGUCUGGAAGGAGGCCUCACACAAGGGCAAGGGAGGAAAGGGUGGGGCCCCUGCAGGCUCCCCAGGCCAGAAGGAGGAACCUCUUUACCUGAAAACAAAUUUCCCAGGUGUGGAAAUCUCCCCGCACUUAUUCUUGGCACACAGCAUUUUGAACAGUCGUUCCCAGUUUACUUCGAAGAUGUCACUUUUAAAAUAUUUUUUCAAUUUCUCUAUUUUCAUCAUAGAGAAAGAGUCAACUAGAUGUGAAUGUGCCUUUCACAUGUGCUCGUUCCCCAUUUAAUAAGGAAGUUCUGUGAGAAGAAGCAGUUGCAGCCUCGAGAGAUGAAAUUCUGCCCUGGAAAAUAAGACGGGUGAACUGCUAAGUCCAGAAUGAAGACCAGACACCAGGAAGCCUGAAGCCAAAUGUCCUCCUCUCCAAGACCCCAGCUGCACCCAUGGGGCCAGCCAGCACCAGUCUGAGAAUCCCAGGGGGCCCUAACCCCACCUUGCAGAUGCACAGGUGCAGGGGCUGUGAGAGCCAGCAGUGCUGAGCAAGCCAAACCUUGGAGCAGCCAGAGGCAGGAGUGAUCAGGCAGGGGACAGCCAUCCAGAACAUUCUGGAAUCACCAUCUGAGGAGCAGAGGGGAGCUGUGUGUGCAGCCAGCCGUGGUCAGACAGAGGAAAUGCAGGGUCUGGCUGCUGGCCAUUCUUACCCUCGCUCCCACCAUCAGGAUCUCUGGCCCCAUCCUGACCCCUGGUGGCUGCCCAUGGGAUGAGGUGAGCAUUCUUCCCAAGCUCCUCCCUGCCCUGGUCCCAGCAUAGCAGGAAAAAUGAAUCCCCCACCCCACAGGUCCUGGCUAGGGUCCCCAGGAAGUACAAGUGUGUUUCCUAGGGGUUUUUCAGGAGGGUUUACUCCACUGUGGUCACCAGGUGCCUUCUCAAUGUAAGUCCAGAGACCAAUUAAACAAAUGUAUAUAAAGAAAGCCCUUUCACCUGCCAAGUUGGCAAAAGGUGUGUUAAAAAAGAGGUGUGUGUCUGUGUGAAUGUGUGUGUGUGUAACUAAAAGUUAAUGCAGGCCAGGGUGCAAUAAGACCAGCACUCUCAUGCACAAUUCGUGAGAGUACAAAUUUGUAUAACCCUUCUGCAAGUGAUCCGAGCAAAAUAAAUCCAAAAUCUUACUAAGCAUUCUAUCCUCUGACCCAGUAAUUCUGUUAGGAAUCCAGCUUCAAAAAAAUCAAUACUCAAAUAAUAUGAAACCCAAAAUUUGAAAUAAAUGGGAGAGGAAAAAACAAGAUAAGCCAAGCGUGAUCAUCACUGAGGCUGGAUGAUGAUUACAUGACAGUUCUUUAUUGUUUUGUUUUGUUUUGUUUUUGUCUGCUUUGCUAUAUGCUGUGAAUUUGCCAUGAUAUUUUUAGAAGAAAGCAUCAUAGAUGCAAAGAUUUGUAUAAAAGAUGUUAAUUUUUAAUAGCAAAAACUGUGCAAAUGGCAAAAAAAAAAAAAAGUGCUAUGCUGGGAUGGUUAAACAAAUUAUGCUGCAUCCAAAUAGUGGGAUAUUAUGCAGCCAUUAAAAAUGCAAGAGUGUUUUCAUGAUGUGGAAAAAUGCUUAUGUGAUGCAAAGCAAAUAAGUAGGAAUCAAAAUUGCAUAUGUAGUAUUUAACUGAGUAUGUUAAAUGAAAAGUGCAUAGGGGUGCCUGGGUGGCUCAGUUGGUUGAGUGUCUGACUCUUGGUUUUGGCUCAGGUCAUGAUCCCAAAAUUGUGACAUCAAGGCAUGUGGCAGGGUGGAGAAUGCUUAAGAUUCUCUCUGCCUCUGCUUCUGCCCCUCCCCAGUCACGCUGGCUCUCUCUCUAAAAAAAUAAAAAUAAAAAAUAAAAAGUGCAUAGAAGGAAACUAUCUGAAAAUACACUAACAUGUUUGUUAUACAGUGAGACUAGGGAUGAUUUCUAUUCUUGAUAUUGUCCCUUAUUUUCUUAAUUCUACAAUAAGCAUGUCUUUUAUAAAUAGGUCCCCAAAUUGCCUUUGUGGAAGUAUACCAACUUGGGGGUCUGAGAUACAUUCAGCUCCAAGGACUGCCAUGUAUUAGCCAUGCAACAUUGAGAAAUUCACAUCUGGGUCCCAGAUUUCUCACCUAUAAAACUGGCAUAACACCAACCUAUUUUUCAAGCACCAUUUACUGGGUCUUCACUAUGUCCUAGGCAGUAUGCUUGAGGGAGGUUCUGCAUAUACAAUCACACACACCAUUCAUACAUGGUCAUUUCAAUCCUUACAGUAAGCUCUGGAGUAGAUUAGGGCACUGCCAUCUUAAGAACUACACGAACUGUGGCUCAGGAAAAUUAGGGAAUGUGCUCAGUUUUACCCAUCUAAUAAACAGUACAGGUGGGAUUCAGACAUAGAUCUGACCAUCUUUGAAAGCCCUGUUCUCAGACCCUUCAGCCUGGUCUGCUUAUGGUUACAGUUCUUUUUUCUUUCUUUCUUUUUUAUAUA
This is a long non-coding RNA of Leopardus geoffroyi (Geoffroy's cat), 4203 nucleotides long. RefSeq lists it as uncharacterized. The record is from RefSeq and is a predicted model, not a curated record. The transcript has 4 exons. Lineage: Eukaryota; Metazoa; Chordata; Mammalia; Carnivora; Felidae.